Molecule: ribosomal RNA, 292 nt
Filed under: uncultured bacterium
Lineage: Bacteria
Description: partial 16S ribosomal RNA
Rfam family: Bacterial small subunit ribosomal RNA
Source: RNAcentral
UUUCCCUACGGGGGGCAGCAGUGGGGAAUAUUGCACAAUGGGGGAAACCCUGAUGCAGCAACGCCGCGUGAGUGAAGAAGUAUUUCGGUAUGUAAAGCUCUAUCAGCAGGAACGAGACAAGACGGUACCUGACUAAGAAGCCCCGGCUAACUACGUGCCAGCAGCCGCGGUAAUACGUAGGGGGCAAGCGUUAUCCGGAAUCACUGGGUGUCAAGGGAGCGUAGACGGCUGUGCAAGCCUGAAGUGAAAGGCGGUGGCCCAACCACUGGACUGCUUUGGCAACUGUACGGCU